UACGUAGGGGGCAAGCGUUGUCCGGAUUUAUUGGGCGUAAAGAGCGUGUAGGCGGCCAGGGAGGUCCGUUGUGAAAACUCGAGGCUCAACCUCGAGACGCCGAUGGAAACCGUUUGGCUAGAGUCCGGAAGAGGAGAGUGGAAUUCCUGGUGUAGCGGUGAAAUGCGCAGAUAUCAGGAAGAACACCCGUGGCUAAGGCGGCUCUCUAGUACGGUACUGACGCUGAGACGCGAAAGCGUGGGGAGCGAACAGG
This 253-nucleotide ribosomal RNA is filed under the name uncultured bacterium. RNAcentral describes it as "partial 16S ribosomal RNA". It matches the Rfam family "Bacterial small subunit ribosomal RNA", at positions 524 to 776 of the family's 1533-position model. The record is from RNAcentral.